GACAGAGGGUGCAAACGUUGCUCGGAAUCACUGGGCGUAAAGGGCGCGUAGGCGGCCUGUUAAGUCGAACGUGAAAUCCCCGGGCUCAACCCGGGAACUGCGUCCGAUACUGGCAGGCUUGAAUUCGGGAGAGGGAUGUGGAAUUCCAGGUGUAGCGGUGAAAUGCGUAGAUAUCUGGAGGAACACCGGUGGCGAAGGCGGCAUCCUGGACCGAUAUUGACGCUGAUGCGCGAAAGCCAGGGGAGCAAACGGG
This 253-nucleotide ribosomal RNA is filed under the name uncultured bacterium. RNAcentral's name for it is "partial 16S ribosomal RNA". It matches the Rfam family "Bacterial small subunit ribosomal RNA", at positions 524 to 776 of the family's 1533-position model. The record is from RNAcentral.